Molecule: ribosomal RNA, 800 nt
Filed under: uncultured bacterium
Lineage: Bacteria
Description: bacterial SSU rRNA
Rfam family: Bacterial small subunit ribosomal RNA
Source: RNAcentral
AGAGUUUGAUCCUGGCUCAGGAUGAACGCUAGCGGCAGGCUUAACACAUGCAAGUCGAGGGGCAGCGCGAUGUAGCAAUACAUUGGCGGCGACCGGCGCACGGGUGCGUAGCACGUAUGGAAUCUGCCCUUUACUGGGGGAUAGCCCGGAGAAAUCCGGAUUAAUACCCCAUAAUAACCGAGGUGGCAUCACCUUGAUUUGAAAGCUCCGGCGGUAAAGGAUGACCAUGCGCACGAUUAGCUAGUAGGUGAGGUAACGGCUCACCUAGGCUACGAUCGUUAGGGGGCCUGAGAGGGUUAUCCCCCACACUGGUACUGAGACACGGACCAGACUCCUACGGGAGGCAGCAGUGAGGAAUAUUGCGCAAUGGAGGCAACUCUGACGCAGCCAUGCCGCGUGCAGGAAGAAGGCGCUACGCGUUGUAAACUGCUUUUAACCGGGAAGAAACCCCAGGACGUGUCCUGGGUUGACGGUACCGGAGGAAUAAGCACCGGCUAACUUCGUGCCAGCAGCCGCGGUAAUACGAAGGGUGCAAGCGUUAUCCGGAUUCAUUGGGUUUAAAGGGUGCGUAGGCGGGGUGGUAAGUCAGUGGUGAAAUCCUGCAGCUUAACUGUAGAAUUGCCAUUGAUACUGCCAUUCUUGAGUACGCUGGAUGUGGGCGGAAUGUGCCGUGUAGCGGUGAAAUGCUUAGAUAUGGCACAGAACACCGAUAGCGAAGGCAGCUCACAACGGCGAAACUGACGCUGAGGCACGAAAGCGUGGGGAUCGAACAGGAUUAGAUACCCUGGUAGUCCACGCCG